Molecule: small nuclear RNA, 106 nt
Organism: Chionomys nivalis (European snow vole)
Lineage: Eukaryota; Metazoa; Chordata; Mammalia; Rodentia; Cricetidae
Source: RefSeq, a predicted model, not a curated record
AUGCUUCUUUGGCAGCAUGUACACUAAAACUGGACCACGACAGAGAGGAUUAGCAUGGCUCCUGUGCAAGGAGGAUUUGAACCUUCUGAAAGAGUUCCAUGUUUUG